Molecule: ribosomal RNA, 439 nt
Filed under: uncultured bacterium
Lineage: Bacteria
Description: partial 16S ribosomal RNA
Rfam family: Bacterial small subunit ribosomal RNA
Source: RNAcentral
CUACGGGAGGCUCCAGUGGGGAAUAUUGGACAAUGGGCGAAAGCCUGAUCCAGCAAUGCCGCGUGUGUGAAGAAGGCCUGCGGGUUGUAAAGCACUUUCAGUUGGGAAGAUGAUGACGUUACCAACAGAAGAAGCACCGGCUAAAUCCGUGCCAGCAGCCGCGGUAAUACGGAUGGUGCGAGCGUUAAUCGGAAUUACUGGGCGUAAAGCGCGCGUAGGCGGCUAAGUCAGUCAGAAGUGAAAGCCCCGGGCUCAACCUGGGAAUUGCUUUUGAUACUGCUUAGCUAGAGUUUGGUAGAGGAUAGUGGAAUUCCAGGUGUAGCGGUGAAAUGCGUAGAUAUCUGGAGGAACAUCAGUGGCGAAGGCGACUGUCUGGACCAAAACUGACGCUGAGGUGCGAAAGCGUGGGUAGCAAACAGGAUUAGAUACCCUAGUAGUC